UUGGCUGCUCAAUGGCCCCACCCAUGCGCCGCCGGCGAGGUGAACGAACUAUGCAUGCGCGUUCCCGUCUGCCGGCCCCCCCUCAAAGCUUCCCUCUAGCGCGCUUGCGCCAACCAGCCGUCUUGCUGUCCGUGCGGCGCAAGCGCGGCAGCCUAACCGUUGCCUGGGAAAAGAGGAGGAAAAUAAUAAUCAGAAAAGAGUCUGUCAAAACCGCAAAUAAGAAUCGCAAAUCGGGGGACUGCGGAUCUAAGCGUACCGUGCUUACAGUGUCAUGCAUUGCGUGCUGAAAGGGGGAUGAUACCAUGUCAGCGUUGAAGAAGUGAUGUGGGAUUUAGAAGAGUUGCUGUCGCUGGCGUUGAGGGAAGUGAAUUAACAGAGAAUUGCAACACCCUCAAUUUCUGAAUCAUCUUCAUUUAAUGUCAUUUUUUCCUUUGCUGUUAGUUAAGCUCCCUCGCACUAUCUGGAUCUGUAACGCCUCUCAUUCAAAUUUCCUGUUAAUGUCAUAGUAGGGAAACAGUUAAAGCAACCAAUAUGAAAAAUAUAUCUAAAAAUACAUCCACAAAAGCAUUUUAAGAUUGAUUUUUUUCCUGAUUUUAAUUUUUUUUUAAAAAAGAAAGCACUGGAUACAUUUGCUAUGCAACGUUGCUGUUUUGAGAGCUGCCAUGAUGCUGUACUUAAAAUGUCAUUUGGUUGAUAGUUUUAUAUUAUUAUUUUCAUGAAAUGCAAUGGUAAAACAAUUUUUUAAAAUUUUCUUUUUAUUGAAAUUGUUAUAUAGUGGGAGGAACUUGAAAGAGAUACAAAUGCUAUGGUGGCCAUAUCACACAUUUAAUGACAUCAUCACCACAUUGGAUAUGCUCAUAAUGUAAGAAUAAUUACUGUUUCCCUUUGUUUUAAAAAAAUGCUUUUUCAAUAAACUUGCCAUUUACAUUAACUAUACAACUUCAAAAACAAACAAAUCUUUAAGAAUAUGCACACUUGGCAAAAUAACAAUGGAUUCUUUUUUUUCUUUGCAUCAAUAAAUCAAGCCUAACAACUGGU
Long non-coding RNA from Carcharodon carcharias (great white shark), 1038 nucleotides. RefSeq lists it as uncharacterized. The record is from RefSeq and is a predicted model, not a curated record. Lineage: Eukaryota; Metazoa; Chordata; Chondrichthyes; Lamniformes; Lamnidae. The transcript has 2 exons.